RNAcentral lists this ribosomal RNA (1058 nucleotides) under Apilactobacillus kunkeei. RNAcentral describes it as "bacterial SSU rRNA". It matches the Rfam family "Bacterial small subunit ribosomal RNA", at positions 342 to 1393 of the family's 1533-position model. The record is from RNAcentral. Lineage: Bacteria; Bacillati; Bacillota; Bacilli; Lactobacillales; Lactobacillaceae.
CGGGAGGCAGCAGUAGGGAAUCUUCCACAAUGGACGAAAGUCUGAUGGAGCAACGCCGCGUGAGUGAUGAAGGUUUUCGGAUCGUAAAACUCUGUUGUUAAAGAAGAACAAGUGUUAGAGUAACUGUUAACACUUUGACGGUAUUUAACCAGAAAGCCACGGCUAACUACGUGCCAGCAGCCGCGGUAAUACGUAGGUGGCAAGCGUUGUCCGGAUUUAUUGGGCGUAAAGCGAGCGCAGGCGGUUUUGUAAGUCUGCUGUGAAAGCCCUCAGCUCAACUGAGGAAGUGCAGUGGAAACUACAAAACUUGAGUACAGAAGAGGAAAGUGGAACUCCAUGUGUAGCGGUGAAAUGCGUAGAUAUAUGGAAGAACACCAGUGGCGAAGGCGGCUUUCUGGUCUGUUACUGACGCUGAGGCUCGAAAGCAUGGGUAGCGAACAGGAUUAGAUACCCUGGUAGUCCAUGCCGUAAACGAUGAAUACUAGGUGUUGGAGGGUUUCCGCCCUUCAGUGCCGCAGCUAACGCAUUAAGUAUUCCGCCUGGGGAGUACGACCGCAAGGUUGAAACUCAAAGGAAUUGACGGGGGCCCGCACAAGUGGUGGAGCAUGUGGUUUAAUUCGAUGCUACGCGAAGAACCUUACCAGCUCUUGACAUCUUCUGCCAACCCAAGAGAUUGGGCGUUCCCUUCGGGGACAGAAUGACAGGUGGUGCAUGGUUGUCGUCAGCUCGUGUCGUGAGAUGUUGGGUUAAGUCCCGCAACGAGCGCAACCCUUAUUAUUAGUUGCCAGCAUUUAGUUGGGCACUCUAGUGAGACUGCCGGUGAUAAACCGGAGGAAGGUGGGGACGACGUCAAAUCAUCAUGCCCCUUAUGAGCUGGGCUACACACGUGCUACAAUGGAUGGUACAACGAGUCGCGAAACCGCGAGGUCAAGCUAAUCUCUUAAAGCCAUUCUCAGUUCGGAUUGCAGGCUGCAACUCGCCUGCAUGAAGUUGGAAUCACUAGUAAUCGUGGAUCAGCAUGCCACGGUGAAUACGUUCCCGGGCCUUGUACACACCNC